Non-coding RNA from Pelobates cultripes (western spadefoot toad), 563 nucleotides. NCBI's taxonomy places the organism in Eukaryota, Metazoa, Chordata, Amphibia, Anura, Pelobatidae. The record is from the annotation of a GenBank genome assembly.
GUGUGUGCAUAUAAUGUCCAGCUUAAAAAAAGUAAUUCAAAAUAAAUUAAUUUAUGUGUCUUGAUUUAUAGAGUACAUAUUAUGUAUAUGAUUUCAGCUUAUUUUGAAAGUUACAGGUCACAAAAUAAAAGGACUAAAAUACAAUUUCAGUGUGAAGCAAUUUUAGAAGUUGGUAUGUGUGACGGGACCAAUCUUGCCACAUUGCAUUGGAGAAGCCUGGUUGCUCGCCUGCUGCCUUUGGACUAUGGCCCCAUGUUAAAAGACUUUGUUUCGCCUGCAGAAAAGCUUUAUUCAUGCUUUUCUGCCGGUUGUUUGGUAGAUUCAAUCUACCGAACAACCGCACAAAUGAAUAGACCACCUGGGAGCUGGAGUGUGCCGGCAAUUAACCUCCCUGAAGCUGCAGUUAACUGCAGCUUAAUUGACGAAUGCUGGGUGGCCGCCAUUCGUAUCCCGAACACGAGGUCGCGGACAUUUUAAACAUACGAAUGCACAGCGGUGUUCGACGCUUAAUUCAUGGAACUAAAAUCGGACACAGUUUUGCGCGAACACCGCUGAAGCUGCCG